Molecule: ribosomal RNA, 843 nt
Filed under: uncultured bacterium
Lineage: Bacteria
Description: bacterial SSU rRNA
Rfam family: Bacterial small subunit ribosomal RNA
Source: RNAcentral
AGAGUUUGAUCCUGGCUCAGAACGAACACUGGCGGCAGGCCUAAUACAUGCAAGUCGAGCGCAUCCUUCGGGAUGAGCGGCGGACGGGUGAGUAACGCGUGGGAAUAUGCCCUUCUCUAAGGAAUAGCCUCUGGAAACGGAGAGUAAUACCUUAUACGCCCUUCGGGGGAAAGAUUUAUCGGAGAAGGAUUAGCCCGCGUUAGAUUAGGUAGUUGGUGGGGUAAUGGCCUACCAAGCCUACGAUCUAUAGCUGGUUUGAGAGGAUGAUCAGCCACACUGGGACUGAGACACGGCCCAGACUCCUACGGGAGGCAGCAGUAGGGAAUCUUAGACAAUGGGGGAAACCCUGAUCUAGCCAUGCCGCGUGUGUGAUGAAGGCCUUAGGGUCGUAAAGCACUUUCGCCAGAGAUGAUAAUGACAGUAUCUGGUAAAGAAACCCCGGCUAACUCCGUGCCAGCAGCCGCGGUAAUACGGAGGGGGUUAGCGUUGUUCGGAAUUACUGGGCGUAAAGCGCACGUAGGCGGAUUAGUAAGUUAGAGGUGAAAUCCCAGGGCUCAACCCUGGAACUGCCUUUAAUACUGCUAGUCUUGAGUUCGAGAGAGGUAAGUGGAAUUCCAAGUGUAGAGGUGAAAUUCGUAGAUAUUUGGAGGAACACCAGUGGCGAAGGCGGCUUACUGGCUCGAUACUGACGCUGAGGUGCGAAAGUGUGGGGAGCAAACAGGAUUAGAUACCCUGGUAGUCCACACCGUAAACGAUGAAUGCCAGACGUCAGCAAGCAUGCUUGUUGGUGUCACACCUAACGGAUUAAGCAUUCCGCCUGGGGAGUACGGUCGCAAGAUUAAA